Molecule: ribosomal RNA, 470 nt
Filed under: uncultured bacterium
Lineage: Bacteria
Description: bacterial SSU rRNA
Rfam family: Bacterial small subunit ribosomal RNA
Source: RNAcentral
CAGGACGAACGCUGGCGGCGUAGCUUAACACAUGCAAGUCGAACGAUGAACCAGGGCUUGCCCUGGGAAUUAGUGGCGAACGGGUGAGUAACACGUGGGCAACCUGCCCCAGACACCGGGAUAACCAUCCGAAAGGAUGGCUAAUACCGGAUAUGACCACUUUGGGCAUCCAACGGUGGUGGAAAGGAUUCUGGUCUGGGAUGGGCCCGCGGCCUAUCAGCUAGUUGGUGGGGUAAUGGCCUACCAAGGCGACGACGGGUAGCCGGCCUGAGAGGGCGACCGGCCACACUGGGACUGAGACACGGCCCAGACUCCUACGGGAGGCAGCAGUGGGGAAUAUUGCGCAAUGGGCGAAAGCCUGGCGCAGCGACGCCGCGUGAGGGACGAAGGUCUUCGGAUUGUAAACCUCUUUCAGCAGGGACGAAGCGAAAGUGACUGUACCUGCAGAAGAAGCACCGGCUAACUACGUG